AGCGUGUACACACUGCAGUCUGCUGUACUGGAAAUGACUUAUUUAUUCUACGUUCAUUCACAGCUUCUGUUUAUGGCAUAAUACCUUCUGAGAGUAGGCCAUUAUGACAACAAUGCCUCUGUUUCCUCCAGAUUCUUGGCUGUCACUAUCCUGACCUACCACCUGUGUCACAUCCCAUUAGGUUCUGUGGAUGAGGCAUGGUGCUUGGCACAGACUGACACAAGUUUGGGCAAACUUGGCAGAGCAGCCUAACCCAAAGCGAAAAACAGAAAUGAACCAAGAUACAACCUCUGUGGAAAACCCUACUGAACAAAAGCAACUCUGUGGAGUGUCCUCUCAGCUGCAAAUUGAGACAGAAUUGUGGGGCAAGCUUGGCCACUGAUGCAGUUUUGUCAUUUCAAGAACAUUGUAUAUAUGGAGUUAUAUAUGGACUCACACAGAUUCUGCAGCUUGCUACACAGAAAGCCAGAGACCGAGAGCCAAUGACUGAGACUAUGAGUAUUGCCAAGGAAGAAGGCUUUAAUCGGGUGCUGCAGCUGAAAAGAUGAGAGCUCAGCCUCAAAUCCAUCUCCCUGACCAACUAAAGCUAAGGAUUUAUAUAGCAGGGAAGAAGACAGGAACUAGGAAGGGGCAAGGAAGCGAUCCUGAUGAAUGAAGGGUCAGGCAUUUCAUUGUCUGGAUGUGGCGAUCUGCUCACACUGGUCACACCUGGGACUUCCAACAUGAAUGCUUUUGUCACGGAUGCUGCGCUGCUGCUGUUUCUGGUUCUUACUCUGCUUACACCAAGGAGACUGAUGUCCCUGCUAUAACCCCACUUCCGAUGCAGACAGCAAUUCCAAUGCAUUGCAGCUUUCAGGAUUUUCUCACUGUGUUUUUGCCUCUCCUUUUCUUUAAGACAUGAGCAUUUGUCUACGGGGAUGGCCUGAAGUGUAGUCUCCAUUACCCAGAGUCAUCUCACUCUCUGACCUUGACUCAUGAUCUGAGAACAAGUGCUCCCCUGCUUGUCUUCCUGAGGGGCAUCUGUCCCUCUUGCAAACAGAUUUCCUUUGGGCUCUGUCAUUUAGAAAUGCCCUUAUUUAUCUGAAUUAUAGUUCCAGUUCAGAACAUUUACAAAGGAACAGAUUGCUCCCAAUUUUAAAGCAGGUAAAUUCUAAAAGUUGGCAAGCCAGUCAUUUAGAAUUUGAGCCUCAUAUUCCAUAGGUAUGAAAUUAUACAUAAUGAAAAAGUUCCCAGGGCAGCCCACAAAAAGCCUACUUAUCCAAAAUAAAGCUAACCUGAGUUAAUUCA
This 1287-nucleotide long non-coding RNA is filed under the name Homo sapiens (human). RNAcentral describes it as "uncharacterized LOC105379230, transcript variant 2 (LOC105379230)". The record is from RNAcentral. Lineage: Eukaryota; Metazoa; Chordata; Mammalia; Primates; Hominidae.